Molecule: ribosomal RNA, 407 nt
Filed under: uncultured Microbacterium sp.
Lineage: Bacteria; Bacillati; Actinomycetota; Actinomycetes; Micrococcales; Microbacteriaceae
Description: bacterial SSU rRNA
Rfam family: Bacterial small subunit ribosomal RNA
Source: RNAcentral
AAGGCUUGACAUACACCAGAACGGGCCAGAAAUGGUCAACUCUUUGGACACUGGUGAACAGGUGGUGCAUGGUUGUCGUCAGCUCGUGUCGUGAGAUGUUGGGUUAAGUCCCGCAACGAGCGCAACCCUCGUUCUAUGUUGCCAGCACGUAAUGGUGGGAACUCAUGGGAUACUGCCGGGGUCAACUCGGAGGAAGGUGGGGAUGACGUCAAAUCAUCAUGCCCCUUAUGUCUUGGGCUUCACGCAUGCUACAAUGGCCGGUACAAAGGGCUGCAAUACCGUGAGGUGGAGCGAAUCCCAAAAAGCCGGUCCCAGUUCGGAUUGAGGUCUGCAACUCGACCUCAUGAAGUCGGAGUCGCUAGUAAUCGCAGAUCAGCAACGCUGCGGUGAAUACGUUCCCGGGUCUU